CAAGGUGAACAGUCUGUGGCAUGUUGGAACAAGGCGGGUCAGGGAAGUCGGCAAGUCAGAUCCGUAACUUUGAGACAAGGAUUGGCUCUAAGGGCUGGUCGCCUCAGCUGGCACCUAGCAGCUGACUUAAAACUGGUGCGGACCGGUGGAAUCCGACUGUUCAAUUAAAAAAAGCAUUGUGAAGGCCCACGGCGUGUGUUGACACAAUGUAAUUUCUGCCCAGUGCUCUGAAUGUCAAAGUGAA
This is a long non-coding RNA of Thalassophryne amazonica, 244 nucleotides long. RefSeq lists it as uncharacterized. The transcript is spliced from 2 exons. The record is from RefSeq and is a predicted model, not a curated record. NCBI's taxonomy places the organism in Eukaryota, Metazoa, Chordata, Actinopteri, Batrachoidiformes, Batrachoididae.